CUAAAGGGUGAUGUUUGGCCUGGCAGGGCCUCCAGGACUCUGUUCCAGCUCUACGGCUGCAUCCUUCUCACUGGUCAGUGUAUUGCUGUGCUAUUGUUAAACGUCCGAGUGAUGGACCAGCCCGAUGUAGAUGAUGGGGAUGCAGCAGAUGCCUGGUGCAAAUCCAGCCUCCUCCAAGAAACGCUGCCAGAUGGUGUGUUGCUACUUGCAAAGUCCUUUCACAUGCAUUUAAAAAAAUUCAUUUCCUGUUUUCUGCACAAUCACCUCUAGGGGAUGGAGAGCUGAAGGAGGAGAAAGAAGACGAAAUCCGGUGACCCGGCUAUGAGGAAAAAACACUGCCCCAGAUUUGCAAAUCUCCUGCGGGGAGGGAGGGACCUGAGGAUUCUACCUCACGAUGAAAAUAACUGUUCUCCCCCCACAUUCAACCAACGGCUCUUUACUGGGUUCAAAGGCCAGCAACUUUGAUCUGCCCAACAAUUCUUGGAGGACAGAGGCAGGCAUUGCCCCUUUCAACAGAUGAGGAACCUGAAACCCAGAAAGGGAAAGUGACUCGCCCAAGGUCACACAGCACCAAAGCUAGAGUCCCAAUGUCCCUCCCCCCACUGCUUGCAGCUUGCAGUAGAUAAACCUGGAGAGAGUGGUCGGCCUCAUCUGCUCACCAGCCUGCAAACCCCUGGUGCUCCCUGCUGCUGUACCCAAAAUGCAGGCCACAGGAGGGGAGAGUGGUGACGGACUGGGCCCAAGCCAGUUCUGCCCCUUUGAAUGGGAGCCUGGGCCCCAAGAAUAACUCCAGGGCCACAGAGUGCUACAGCCUGAAGGGCCGAGCAGAAAGUGAGGACGCUGGAGAUUAACCAAGAUGGCGGAGUAGAAGGACGUGCUGUCACUCCCUCUUGCGAGAGCACCAGAAUCACAACUGACUGCUGGACCAUCAUUGACAGGAAGACCCUGGACUUCACCAAGGAGGAUACCCCACGUCCAAGGACAGAGGAGAAGCCACAGUGAGACGGUAGGAGGGGCGCAAGCAGAGUAAAAUCAAACCCCGUAACUGCUGG
Balaenoptera ricei (Rice's whale) is the source of this 1052-nucleotide long non-coding RNA. RefSeq lists it as uncharacterized. The record is from RefSeq and is a predicted model, not a curated record. The transcript has 3 exons. NCBI's taxonomy places the organism in Eukaryota, Metazoa, Chordata, Mammalia, Artiodactyla, Balaenopteridae.